This 394-nucleotide long non-coding RNA is filed under the name Bos taurus (domestic cattle). RNAcentral describes it as "long non-coding RNA NONBTAT022692". Lineage: Eukaryota; Metazoa; Chordata; Mammalia; Artiodactyla; Bovidae. The record is from RNAcentral.
UCUCAUUCAUGUUAAUGAAGCUGUCGCUAGCACAAAUAACAAACAUUUAUAUUUGUUUAAGAAGCACGACUACUCUAAUCAGACUUUAAUUAAGUCACGUCUAAAAUUGGUUUGAGUUCUUUGAGACCAUAGCAACAGACGGCAAUGAGGAGGUGCUCUGGGGCAUAUAUAUUCACAAGCUAUAAUUGUUAGUUAUUUUUUUUAAAUGGGGUAUCUAGGAGUCACACACAGUACUUUAUUCUAGCUCUCCUGAAAAGAAAAUGUGACUUAAUACAUUAUUUUCAUCUUAGAGUUAACGGUGAAAUUAGAUGACACAUGGGAAAAUGUUCGAUUUAUAAUAAGCAUCCUUAAAUAGUAGAGGCUUUCCUUACUGUCUGAGAAAAGAACAUGGUCU